GCGAAGAACCCGACACAGAGCUUGAACGCACGAACCAAGAGAUCAUGACGUGAGCCAAAACCAAGAGUCGGACGCUUAACCGACUGAGCCAUCCAGGUGCCCCAGAAAGCUGCUAUUCAAAAGCUGCAUCAGUGCUGUUGUUUUGAGCAGGGUUUCUGAGGAUGACUCAAGAUGGCUCCAUGCCCCUCCCCUUUGAAGUGCCCUAGGGUCCCCUGAGUUUCUUCCCAAAGGCCACCUGCUGCCUGGAGUCAUGGUUCCCACUGUAGGGACACACCAGUGGGAAUCUUGCUGGGCAGUCCCACUGCAGGCACUGAGGCUGGUGUCUCUAAUUUAUCAUCGGUUGCCAUCUGAGAGGGAUAGCCAGAUAGCCAGGGAUAGAAGGCUGGCUGGCUGCUCGAGGAAGGCCUGGGCAUGGCAUGACCUGCACGUGGACACCAUGUUCCCAAGGUGGCCUUCAGCCUUGUAAGUCCAGAAACAUGCGGGGGCUCCAGGGCACUCCACCUGCUUCCACUAAAGAAGCUCACCACAGACCACUGUUUAUACUCCAUGCCAACUUUCGUUGAUGAUGGAAGCCAUUCCCCCAGUACCCCAUCCCUGGAGACCCCGUUCCCAGUGUCACGAUGCGUGCGAAGCUGAAACUGUUGUUAAGAGAUUGCUUGGUGAGCAGGAUUUGGAACCAGAGUAGGGCAACUCUCAAGAAGGUCAUCAUUCAGGCCCUGGAAAAGAUUGGAGGACUGUGUUGGUCCCAUUCUUGAGCCUACCUCUCCAAGGGUGAGAAUAUCCAUAUGUCCCAGAUCUUUGUCUUCUGCUCAGGAUGAAGCUGGACCCGUUCUGUGAAUUUCCACUUUCUGUCUCCGCCCAUGCCUACUUUGCAUAGGCUUUGGACACCAUAAUAACAAUCAAGGUGGUUUGGGUUUAAGCCUGUGUGAUAGGAAUCCCUUAUUUUCAUGAGUGUUUUUUCACACUCAGGGUUUAGGGGACACACUCCUGUUACCCUUAUACCACCUGUCCUACCUUCUGCCAGAAAUAGGCUUAGUGAUAAAAUACCCAACUGCAUGUGUGAAUGAACAGCAACAUAAAGAUCAGAAACUACAUGGAUACAAGGGAGAACAUUGUACCUGUCACCUAGUCAAGAGUGUGACUAGAAUGAUUUUUAAGCUUCCUGGAAGCCCAGACACAGAAGAGAAUAAAUGGAGUGGUUUGAUUUGAAUAAUGGUUGAUUCACACAUCAGAAAUUUUAAAGGGCCAUCAGGAAUUUACUAGGUAAGCACAAAGGAUCUGGUUGUUCCUGUAGAGUUGAAUUAGCAAACAUUUUCGCUUUAAACACUUUAUUAGUAAAAAGAAGCUAACUCUGGGGUGCCUGGGUGGCUCAGUUGGUUAAAUGUCCAACUCUGGCUCAAAGUCAUGAUUUCAGGGCUCAUGAGUUCGAGCCCUGCAUCAGGCUGUCUCCUAUCGGUCCAGAACCCACUUUGGAUCUUCUACCUCCCUCUCUCUCUGCCCCUCCCCCCUUUCCCUCUCUCUCAUAAUUAAACGUUAAAAAAAAAAAAAAAGCUAAUUCUCAUUCAGGAUGAAAGAGCCUCAGAAACACAGAGUCUACUUUUACGAGUGAUCUUUCCCUACACAAGGCCACCAGCAUGCAAAGUUUCCACAGUUUAAUUCAACAAACAUUUAUUAAGCAUCUAUUGUGUGCCAGACAAUGUUAGGUUCUGAGGAUACAAAAUUGUAUAAAAUGUGAUGCCAUCCUUCAAGGAACUUACAGUCUAAUUGGGAAAAGGGACAAAGAAGUGAAAAAUAGCUCUGUGGUUGCACUCAGAUGAACACCAGGGACUGGGGGAGCCCUUGGGCCACAGAGGGGCUCCAGGAAGUCUGCCUGGAGGAGGUAACCCCUGAGCCAAGCCUUGAAAAAUGAUUUCGGGUCUGGUCUGAUCGUCUAAGUGGAAUAUGUGUGACACUGAAGCUGGAGUUAGGAGCCCGGGAUCUGACUUUCAUCUAACUAACUUGCUGUGUGACCUUGUGAAAGUCAUAUUCCCUCUCUGGGAAUCACUGAAUUCUCAGGGUAAAUGUGGGAGAGAAGGUCACUAGCAUUCCGCAGUAAGAUGGGGCGUGAGAAAUUCAUCCACUGGAAAGAAAGACAAAACUCUUUAGAAUACAUGAUCAAAAUAAAUGGGAAAUAAAUGUGAUCGGUCAGGUACUUAGGCUGAAAGCGCCAGCUAAACCCCAGUAACACACCAGCGCAGAAAACCAGUACUUUGGCAGGUUGAAAAAAACACUUCAGUCUUUCUCAAGAAACAGAAGUUUCCUCUGAGGAAUCUAAAGAGAAGCCUGCAAAGCCUGCAGUUAGGAACCCAAGCAGCCUUCAAUCCAGGGGCCGGGCCCCGCGCAGAAACCCGGAGCUCUAAUGGAAGGGGCAGGCCCGGCGCGGCAGCGGCAGCCAAUGAGAGAGCUUCCCGAUGAGGUCAUGGAGUUCCUCGGCGCUUCAUUGGAGGACCCCCCGCGAGGCUUUGGCGCCGACUGCCCCGCAGGAAGGCGGGUAGCAGCCGCAGGCCCGGGAGCCAGGGCUGGGAGGGCGCGUCCCCAAACUUUCUCCCAGUAUUUAUUUACGCAGAGCAGCGAGCCACGCGCACAGCCCUUCAUGCAAGUCCAAGUCCGCAUGGAUGGACAAGGAGGCAGCUGCCCACACAGGGGACCUCAAGGAGCACAAUCUGGAAAGAGCCGAAGCAGGACGUGGCAUUCCUAUGGCCCUUACCAUCCUGAACAUCAAGCCAGCAUCUGCCACAUGCUGCCUUCUACAGGUCAUGGGCUCUGUUCGUCAGCUUCUCACAGUGUCCCCAGCCCGGGGGCCUGUGGACACCAGGCACUGCGGGCCAUGGCUUAGCCCUCCGUGCAGCCUCAGGACACUCAACUCAGCAGAAUUGCUGCUGUUUAAAAGAGGCUGGGAGCUGGAUUUGCUGGGUUCCAAUGGCCUCCGGGGCAUCUGGUUGCUGAAAUCAGAAGAGGUUUGCCUUUCUGGUCUCAGAGACCUAAGGGAUCAAGGCUCAGCUUCAGGCAAGAUCAUCUCAUGCUUGAUUGCCAGAAUUCCUGGGCCCCAACAUGGAUACGAUUUCAGGGCUUCUUUCCACUGCAGGCCUGAUCAGCAAAUGCUCCCAGCUGAGUGUUCAGGAACCUUCACCACAUUAACAAAGCCCAUGAUAGGUUAGCUUGUACACAUUGGGCCUCAAAUAUUUUUGCUGCAUAAACGAUCAAGUCAUUCAGGCAAACAGUAACCUCCAGGUCAGUUUCAAGGGCACCAAAAAGGCUUCUUCCCCAACGUUUCACCUACCUGUCCUCCCCACAGUCCUUAGAGAGUCUGGUCUUGGGCAGGUGCCUGUUAACAUGCAAAUGUGUCUGAAGAUAAUACGGAAACUAUAGUCUCUGUGGUCUCCCAGCUCAAAUUAGUUUCUUAUCUCCCUUUCCCUGCGGUGGGAGGGGCUGUCAGGGAAUCGAGGGAGGGCGCAGAGGCCCUGUCUGCCCAGGUUAGUGUGGGAGGGUGCCCUGGAGAAACUUCAUUGACAUCCAGCUUUUCCCAAACAGUGGAACCAGUUCCUGGUGAUUAAGACAUUGGGGCCUGAGGGAAGUCCUGAGAGAGCAAAAGGUCACAGAGCAUAGAGAAAGGAGCAAGGUGAGGACAUCCAAGGGACUGUCUGUGGUCUGGAGGUAAGCCUGGAUCAGACCAGACUGGAGCUCCAGGCUCAGGGCUCCCUUCCCUGUGCUAUGGGUCACAGCUGCACACAGGCCGGGGCCAUUGUUUCCAGAUUU
Molecule: RNA transcript, 3795 nt
Organism: Acinonyx jubatus (cheetah)
Lineage: Eukaryota; Metazoa; Chordata; Mammalia; Carnivora; Felidae
Exons: 3
Source: RefSeq, a predicted model, not a curated record